ACGUGUUAUCAGCUAUGAACCAACAACGAACACUGGUUACAGUCACGCCACCUGGCGCUACUCUUUAUUUUAACAAGAAAUAAUUGUGUAUAAAAGGAGGUACUGGUGUUCCAUUAAGGCAUAACGCAAUUUUUGUACAAAUUUAUUCUUCACUUACACUUCGUUUCACGAAAACAAAUCAAAAACCAAAAAUGGGCGCUGAAAAAGUCACCAUGAACAUCGUUGUCGUAGGACAAGUCCAAUCUGCCAAGGCCAUCAAAUCGGUCGCCAAAGCCACCCCAGCCACCAGCCAAUUGAUGAACUGUUAAUUCAUGACAUCCAUGUCAAUCUCAAACUCAAAUACGCCAUAGCCCGAACAGUACAUUAUUUUUAUAAUUUGUUGAUAAUUAUAAUAUAUUGUAUUGACAUUACAAAAUAAAUCAGUCUUCUCCGUCAA
Long non-coding RNA from Aphis gossypii (cotton aphid), 436 nucleotides. RefSeq lists it as uncharacterized. The record is from RefSeq and is a predicted model, not a curated record. The transcript is spliced from 3 exons. Lineage: Eukaryota; Metazoa; Arthropoda; Insecta; Hemiptera; Aphididae.